Molecule: ribosomal RNA, 465 nt
Filed under: uncultured bacterium
Lineage: Bacteria
Description: partial 16S ribosomal RNA
Rfam family: Bacterial small subunit ribosomal RNA
Source: RNAcentral
GACGAACGCUGGCGGCGUGCUUAACACAUGCAAGUCGAACGGAAAGGCCCUGCUUGCAGGGUACUCGAGUGGCGAACGGGUGAGUAACACGUGGGUGAUCUGCCCUGCACUUCGGGAUAAGCCUGGGAAACUGGGUCUAAUACCGGAUAGGAGCCAUUUUUAGUGUGAUGGUUGGAAAGUUUUUUCGGUGUGUGAUGAGCUCGCGGCCUAUCAGCUUGUUGGUGGGGUAAUGGCCUACCAAGGCGGCGACGGGUAGCCGGCCUGAGAGGGUGGACGGCCACAUUGGGACUGAGAUACGGCCCAGACACCUACGGGAGGCAGCAGUGGGGAAUAUUGCACAAUGGGCGCAAGCCUGAUGCAGCGACGCCGCGUGGGGGAUGACGGCCUUCGGGUUGUAAACUCCUUUCGCUAGGGACGAAGCUUUUUGUGACGGUACCUAGAUAAGAAGCACCGGCUAACUACGUG